This 63-nucleotide transfer RNA is filed under the name Panaorus albomaculatus. RNAcentral's name for it is "tRNA-Trp". The record is from RNAcentral. Lineage: Eukaryota; Metazoa; Arthropoda; Insecta; Hemiptera; Rhyparochromidae.
AAAGCUUUAAGUUAAUUAAACUAUUAACCUUCAAAGUUAAAAUUAUGUAUACCAUAAGCUUUA